RNAcentral lists this microRNA precursor (88 nucleotides) under Notamacropus eugenii (tammar wallaby). RNAcentral's name for it is "miRNA (ENSMEUG00000017761.1)". Lineage: Eukaryota; Metazoa; Chordata; Mammalia; Diprotodontia; Macropodidae. The record is from RNAcentral.
CAUAUGUGCGUAUGUAUGUGUGUGAGCAUGUGUAUAUAUACAUAUGUAUAUGUACACACACACAUACACACACACACACACACACAUA